UCCUGCCAGUAGUCAUAUGCUUGUCUCAAAGAUUAAGCCAUGCAUGUCUCAGUACAGGCCGAACUAAGGCGAAACCGCGGAUGGCUCAUUAAAUCAGUCAUGAUUUACUGGAUGUUGUAAAACCCACUACUUGGAUAACUGUGGUAAUUCUAGAGCUAAUACAUGCAACCGAGCUCCGACCCUGACCUCCUCUUCUCGUAAAAAAGAAAGGGGGGCGGGGGAAGGGCGCAUUUAUUAGAUCACAAAACCGGUCGGACUACGGUCCGUAAAACAAAACCCUACUAAAACAAUUUCUUGUGAUGACUCUGAAUAACCCACAGCCGAGCGCUAAGGUCUUCGCACCGGCGCCGUAUCCUUCGAGUGUCUGCCUUAUCAGCUUUCGAUUGUAGGUUAUUCGCCUACAAUGGCUGUAACGGGUAACGGGGAAUCAGGGUUCGAUUCCGGAGAGGGAGCCUGAGAAACGGCUACCACAUCUAAGGAAGGCAGCAGGCACGCAAAUUACCCACUCCCGGCUCGGGGAGGUAGUGACGAAAAAUAACGAUGCGGGACUCUUCCGAGGCCUCGCAAUCGGAAUGAGUUUACUUUAAAUCCUUGGACGAGGAUCCAUUGGAGGGCAAGUCUGGUGCCAGCAGCCGCGGUAAUUCCAGCUCCAAUAGCGUAUAUUAAAGUUGUUGCGGUUAAAAAGCUCGUAGUUGGAUCUCGGCAGGUAGGGAGCGGUUCGUUAUUUGACGCUNCUGCUCCAUUUACCUGUGAUAUUAGCGGAGGUUCCAGGGUGCUCUUAACCGAGUGUUCUGGGGCGCCGCUAGGUUUACUUUGAAAAAAUUAGAGUGCUCAAAGCAGGCUUGACACGCUUGAAUAUGGUACGCAUGGAAUGAUGGAACAGGACCUCGGUUCUGCCAUUUUNUAUCGGUUUUUUUGAACCAGAGGUAAUGAUUAAAGGGAACUGACGGGGGCAUUAGUAUUGCGGCGCUAGAGGUGAAAUUCUUGGACCGUCGCAAGACUAACUACUGCGAAAGCAUUUGCCAAGAAUGUUUUCAUUAAUCAAGAACGAAAGUUAGAGGAUCGAAGGCGAUCAGAUACCGCCCUAGUUCUAACCCUAAACGAUGCUAACUGGCGAUCCGCUUGAGUCAUACCCACGACUGAGCGGGAAUCCCCCGGGAAACCAAAGUUUUUGAGUUCCGGGGGAAGUAUGGUUGCAAAAUCGAAACUUAAAGGAAUUGACGGAAGGGCACCACCAGGAGUGGAGCCUGCGGCUUAAUUUGACUCAACACGGGGAACCUCACCAGGCCCGGACACUGGAAGGAUUGACAGAUUGAGAGCUCUUUCUCGAUUCAGUGGUUGGUGGUGCAUGGCCGUUCUUAGUUGGUGGAGCGAUCUGUCUGGUUGAUUCCGAUAACGAACGAGACUCUACCCUACUAACUAGUCGGCGGAUCGUUUCCCGAGACGGGUAAAUCUAACUUUUGCUCGGAUGUCCUCGCGGUCGAUUCGCGAGCGGUUUACAGGGGGCGUUUUCCCUCGCCGCCCGCCGCUCACUUUCGGUCGUUCCGUUCCUUCCCUUCUCUCUAUAUCUCUUCCGUCCGUGGCGCUUUCUGCCUUCGCGUCGUCGCCCGCCCCCUUUUUUUCCCACCCGUUUGCUGGGCGGUUUAAACCCCUCGAUACCCCUUUCGCGCGGCGCGGGAUCCAUCCGCUCGUCGCGCGCGGGGAUUAGUUCCUUCGUCGUUUUUCCCGUUCGCGCCCCCUUCCCCUUUCUCCCGUUCCUCCGUAAAAAGGGGUUCGGGGUUGGGUGGUUGGGGUGUCGCGUUCGGGUCGGCGGCGGAGGAGCCCCCCGUGCGCGCGAGUGGCCCCGCUAACCGCGCGAUUUUGGGGCGAGAGGGGCGCCGUUCGGCGUAUCGGGACCGGGUUGAGGUGCGCGUGGCUCGGCGAGGAGUAGUAGUGGCGCGGCGGCGGUAGCAGUAUAGUAGUAGUCGUUCGGAAGGGCGGGGCGUCUCGGUGGUGGGCGCGCGGCGGUUUCGGGGUUGCGUCCUCGCCGUCACGCGGUCGUCGCGGGCUCCGAGCGGGGACUACCCAGCGAGGGGCGUCCGUCGCAACUUCUUCUUAGAGGGAUCGGCGGCGUCUAGCCGCACGAGAUGGAGCAAUAACAGGUCUGUGAUGCCCUUAGAUGUUUUGGGCCGCACGCGCGCUACAAUGCAGGGCUCAGCGUGCUAUCCCCCUCCGAAAGGAGCGGGUAACCCCAUGAAACCCCUUCCCGAUUGGGAUUGGGGAUUGUAAGUGUUUCCCAUGAACGAGGAAUUCCCAGUAAGCGCUCGU
This 2307-nucleotide ribosomal RNA is filed under the name Natatolana rossi. Its description in RNAcentral is "SSU rRNA". It matches the Rfam family "Eukaryotic small subunit ribosomal RNA", at positions 12 to 1628 of the family's 1831-position model. Lineage: Eukaryota; Metazoa; Arthropoda; Malacostraca; Isopoda; Cirolanidae. The record is from RNAcentral.